GAUGAACGCUGGCGGCGUGCUUAACACAUGCAAGUCGAACGAUGAAGCCCAGCUUGCUGGGUGGGUUAGUGGCGAACGGGUGAGUAACACGUGAGUAACCUGCCCUUAACUCUGGGAUAAGCCUGGGAAACUGGGUCUAAUACCGGAUAGGAGCGUCCACCGCAUGGUGGGUGUUGGAAAGAUUUAUCGGUUUUGGAUGGACUCGCGGCCUAUCAGCUUGUUGGUGAGGUAAUGGCUCACCAAGGCGACGACGGGUAGCCGGCCUGAGAGGGUGACCGGCCACAGUGGGACUGAGACACGGCCCAGACUCCUACGGGAGGCAGCAGUGGGGAAUAUUGCACAAUGGGCGCAAGCCUGAUGCAGCGACGCCGCGUGCGGGAUGACGGCCUUCGGGUUGUAAACCUCUUUCAGUAGUGAAGAAGCGAAAGUGACGGUACCUGCAGAAGAAGCACCGGCUAACUACGUG
This 466-nucleotide ribosomal RNA is filed under the name uncultured bacterium. Its description in RNAcentral is "partial 16S ribosomal RNA". It matches the Rfam family "Bacterial small subunit ribosomal RNA", at positions 28 to 507 of the family's 1533-position model. The record is from RNAcentral.